Molecule: non-coding RNA, 91 nt
Organism: Cryptococcus depauperatus CBS 7841
Lineage: Eukaryota; Fungi; Basidiomycota; Tremellomycetes; Tremellales; Cryptococcaceae
Source: Rfam
GGUGAAGUGUCCGAGUGGUUAUGGAGUGUCGUUCAGGAGUCUGACUAUCCCGGCAUGCGAAAGCGCGUGGGUUCGAACCCCACCUUCAUCA